CCUACGGGUGGCAGCAGUGAGGAAUAUUGGUCAAUGGGCGGGAGCCUGAACCAGCCAAGUCGCGUGAGGGAAGACGGUCCUAUGGAUUGUAAACCUCUUUAGGCGGGGAGCAAUGCCGGGCACGCGUGCCCGGAGGGAGAGUACCCGCCGAAUAAGCAUCGGCUAACUCCGUGCCAGCAGCCGCGGUAAUACGGAGGAUGCGAGCGUUAUCCGGAUUUAUUGGGCGUAAAGAGUUCGUAGGUGGCAUAUUAAGUCUGGUGUUAAAUGCAGAAGCUCAACUUCUGUUCGGCACUGGAUACUGGUAAGCUUGAAUGCGGUAGAGGUAAAGGGAAUUCCUGGUGUAGCGGUGAAAUGCGUAGAUAUCAGGAGGAACAUCGGUGGCGUAAGCGCUUUACUGGGCCGUAAUUGACACUGAGGAACGAAAGCCGGGGUAGCAAAUGGGAUUAGAUACCCGUGUAGUC
Molecule: ribosomal RNA, 461 nt
Filed under: uncultured bacterium
Lineage: Bacteria
Description: partial 16S ribosomal RNA
Rfam family: Bacterial small subunit ribosomal RNA
Source: RNAcentral